This 932-nucleotide long non-coding RNA is filed under the name Nicotiana tabacum (common tobacco). Its description in RNAcentral is "long non-coding RNA (NTAB_LNC015133)". Lineage: Eukaryota; Viridiplantae; Streptophyta; Magnoliopsida; Solanales; Solanaceae. The record is from RNAcentral.
UCAGUAGCUAAAAAUCCAUCCGUUAGUCCACCUAUGAAAAUGACCUGUUGUUUAUAAUCACCCGUUUUAAAAGCAACCUGCAAGAAAUUGAAGGCAUCAUGUUAGAGAAUUGAGUACAUAAGAGUAAAUGGCAUUGGAAGUCCUUGAAGUUUUUGAUUCUAUAAUUACUUGCUUAAAUUGAAAAUUUUUCCCUCUGUUCCCUACACAUUGUCUUUUAGCAAGCUGCCAAGCUUUAGGUGGAGAAGGGGAAUGAUCAGAAUGUUUCUCCACUGUGCAUUCUUCAAUUUGACAGGCAAUAGAAGGACAGAAACCUCUAACUUAUUGAGAAAAGGGAUUCGAGGAGAAAAAUAGCAACAUAAGGCAGUUUGGUUCUGUAUUUUGUGUUUGAUUGUUUUAGGUUUAAUUCUUGAUUGGUCAUAAUCUUCCCUCGAGUUAUGAUCUGUGUCCCUAUAUAAAAAACAUGUUCCAGUCAAGAUAAUGUUUGAUGGAAAUAACACUCCACUGGCUAGAAGGACCAGUUAUGAGCACAAAUAAAUGUUGAAGGAUUAACGUGAGCAAAUCCAGACUGCUUUAGAGACAGUGAUUGAAAAAGCGAGAGCUUCGUCGCGACCCAUCACUUUUCUGACCCUGAAGCGAAUCGAUUUACAAAAGCGAGCGCUUCAAUACGAAGCGAAGCGAAAAAAGCGAUCACUUCAUUUAAAUGGGUCAAUUUUAAAUUUAAAAAAAAGAUUGGGUCUUUUUUUUAUUAUACAAAACAUAGACCCCAACCAAAAGCGAAGACAUUUCUUCUUCUUCUUCCAUCGAGCAUCGACUGCUGCUGCUGCUGCUAGGGUUUGCUGCUCCAGCCUCCAGGUCAUUUUUCUUCCUUCUUCUUUUCUUCUCUCUUCUUCCCGUCGAGGCGUCGACUGCUGCUCACUGCUUGGGCAGGCAGC